RNAcentral lists this ribosomal RNA (400 nucleotides) under uncultured bacterium. RNAcentral's name for it is "bacterial SSU rRNA". It matches the Rfam family "Bacterial small subunit ribosomal RNA", at positions 29 to 416 of the family's 1533-position model. The record is from RNAcentral.
AGCGAACGUUAGCGGCGCGCCUAACACAUGCAAGUCGCACGAGAAAGGGAGCAAUCCCCGGUACAGUGGCGCACGGGUGAGUAACACGUAGAUGACCUUCCCUGGAGUGGUGGAUAACCUGCCGAAAGGCGGGCUAAUACAGCAUGGGACCACAUGGUUUUGACCGAGUGGUGAAAGCGGGCCUCUGUUCACAAGCUCGCGCUCUGGGAUGGGUCUGCGUCCCAUCAGCUAGUUGGUGAGGUAAUGGCUCACCAAGGCAUCGACGGGUAGCUGGUCUGAGAGGAUGACCAGCCACACUGGAACUGAGACACGGUCCAGACUCCUACGGGAGGCAGCAGUGGGGAAUCUUGUGCAAUGGGCGAAAGCCUGACGCAGCGACGCCGCGUGGGUGAUGAAGGCC